AUAAUGUUUAUAAUAUAUGUUGGAAGCCACCCAGAGUGGCUGGGGCAACCCAGUCAGAUGGGUGGGGCAUAAUAAUAGUAUAAUAAUAAUAAUAAUAAUAAUAAUAAUAAUAAUAAUUUAUUUAUACCCCCCGUCCAUCUGGUGGCUGGGUUUCCCCAGCCACUCUGGGCGGCUUCCAACAGAAUAUUAAAAUACAGUA
This 199-nucleotide microRNA precursor is filed under the name Podarcis lilfordi (Lilford's wall lizard). Lineage: Eukaryota; Metazoa; Chordata; Lepidosauria; Squamata; Lacertidae. The record is from RNAcentral.